UGCAAGUCGAACGGUAACAGGUUAAGCUGACGAGUGGCGAACGGGUGAGUAAUGUAUCGGAACGUGCCCAGUCGUGGGGGAUAACUGCUCGAAAGAGCAGCUAAUACCGCAUACGACCUGAGGGUGAAAGCGGGGGAUCGCAAGACCUCGCGCGAUUGGAGCGGCCGAUAUCAGAUUAGGUAGUUGGUGAGGUAAAGGCUCACCAAGCCGACGAUCUGUAGCUGGUCUGAGAGGACGACCAGCCACACUGGGACUGAGACACGGCCCAGACUCCUACGGGAGGCAGCAGUGGGGAAUUUUGGACAAUGGGCGCAAGCCUGAUCCAGCCAUGCCGCGUGCGGGAAGAAGGCCUUCGGGUUGUAAACCGCUUUUGUCAGGGAAGAAAAGGUUCUGGCUAAUACCUGGGACUCAUGACGGUACCUGAAGAAUAAGCACCGGCUAACUACGUGCCAGCAGCCGCGGUAAUACGUAGGGUGCAAGCGUUAAUCGGAAUUACUGGGCGUAAAGCGUGCGCAGGCGGUUAUGCAAGACAGAGGUGAAAUCCCCGGGCUCAACCUGGGAACUGCCUUUGUGACUGCAUGGCUAGAGUACGGUAGAGGGGGAUGGAAUUCCGCGUGUAGCAGUGAAAUGCGUAGAUAUGCGGAGGAACACCGAUGGCGAAGGCAAUCCCCUGGACCUGUACUGACGCUCAUGCACGAAAGCGUGGGGAGCA
Molecule: ribosomal RNA, 712 nt
Filed under: uncultured Roseateles sp.
Lineage: Bacteria; Pseudomonadati; Pseudomonadota; Betaproteobacteria; Burkholderiales; Sphaerotilaceae
Description: bacterial SSU rRNA
Rfam family: Bacterial small subunit ribosomal RNA
Source: RNAcentral